Equus caballus (horse) is the source of this 1145-nucleotide non-coding RNA. The record is from RefSeq and is a predicted model, not a curated record. Lineage: Eukaryota; Metazoa; Chordata; Mammalia; Perissodactyla; Equidae.
UAGAUUUCCUUCACCUUCAGCCAGCACCCCUGCUUGCUGUGGUGCCUCACCUGGUGGUGUGAUUUAGACUUGCAUCUCCUAGACAACUGAGCCCCUGGCCACCAUGUUUACUUCAAAAUUGGAUAAAGUACCAAGACAGGCCAACUCAGCCACCUAAGUGCUAGAUGUAUGCCUACCUGCCCCCCUCACAGCAGCCUAUCUCCUCCUGAUGAUCAAGGUCAAUUACACCUGCCACAACGGUGACUCUUUUUGCUGACUGGUCCCCUGGCAUGAAGAGCCUGAAGAGCAUAGAUGGUAGCCAUAGUUUAUAGUUCAAGAGGACUCUUGCUAUGCUUCAUGUGAAUGUGUUCCCCCUUUGAGAACAAAGAAUUCUAAACGUGCGGAACACAGAGCUGUGUACUUAAGAAGCACAAAUUCCCAAAUGGAUCACUGGAAGUGAUGUACCCACCAGAUCGUUCCUGAGACUGCUCCAGUCAUCUCGGGACAUGCGCUCACGCGGAUGCGCCUCUGCUCUGCCCCAGCUAGAGUGGGAGGGAAAUUUGGCCUCGACUGAAAAUAGCAGAGAGUAAACACGCCAAGACAACUGCAGACAUUUUCUGUUGGGACAAAACAAAGAACAGACCACCCGCCAAGUUUCUGUGGUAGCCUUCUGUGGCCCCCAGUGAUGGGCAACAGUGUGGGAUGUGGGACUGAAGCAGCAUCAUGGAAAUCUGCUUCAUGGCUCUGGGACUUUGGAAAAGGAAAACCUUCUGUUUGAAAUCAAUGAAGAGUUCCCAAAGUAAUGUGAAGUUGCAGGAGUGUGAUCCAGUUGAUGAGGAAAGGCAACAGAAGAGAGACUAAAAUUUGACAUCUCUUUUCUCCUUGAGGAGAAAGUAGCAGCUGAGGGAUGAAAAAGUCAAGAAGAACUUCUAAGUUCGAGGGGCCUGGUGAGACAAAAAAUUGACUUUAAGAUCUGCUGGGAGUCAGGGCAUGAUGUAUAUUAAAGGAUGAACUGUGUCCUUCAAAUAAGAGAGAUCUGGAAAUGGACAAGUGCUGACAAGAACUGAAAUGCAACUUUAGAAGACAAUAAUCCUGAAUAGAUUGAGAUCUGCCCUUGCCGAGCUGCCUAGGGAAAGCAUAAAUAAAUAAACAAUCUCAAACUUCAA